UAUGGCGUUCGUCACAGCCUUCCCCAGGUCUUUCGUUCUGCGGUGUGACCGGGCAGUCUGGCCAAUGGACACUACUGUUUGGGCCUGAGAAGGCGGGGUUCUCUGCAGAAGGGACUGGGAAGGUGGUGGUGGCGGCGAAGGCGCUGGCGGUUGAGGUUGCUCGGAGGCAGAGAUCAUUUAGGUCCACAGACAUCCUAACAUUCAGAGCAUGAGAUCUGUGCCGGUCCCUGGACCUCUUCUUGUAAGGAUCUAUGCUUGGCUUGAUAGUCUGAUAUCGCCAACGUGGAAAUUCUAGUAACUUCUAGAUGAGGCAACUAUGAAGGGCUUGUAUUUUCAACAGAGUUCUACAAAUGAAGAAAUAACAUUUCUAUUUCAAGAAAGGG
Arvicola amphibius (Eurasian water vole) is the source of this 383-nucleotide long non-coding RNA. RefSeq lists it as uncharacterized. The record is from RefSeq and is a predicted model, not a curated record. The transcript has 3 exons. Lineage: Eukaryota; Metazoa; Chordata; Mammalia; Rodentia; Cricetidae.